AUGUCGUUUUUUCGGUCUGAGGUUUUUGCACGACCACUCAGCCAGUUUGUUUCACUGUGGUGGACGUUCGGUGGAGGAACCAGACUGGAUGUUGGAAGUGAUGCUCGUCCCACCCUGACGGUGCUGCCUCCCUCCAGGGAGGAGCUGCAGCAGGAGAAGGUCACGCUCACGUGUCUGGCCAACAAGGGCUUCCCCUCAGACUGGACUCUGUCCUGGAAGCUGGACGGCAGCAGCAGCAGCAGCAGCAGCAGCAGCAGCAUCAGCGGUAGCAGCAGCUGGGAGGAGAGCAGGAGUCUGGCGGUUCAGGGUCCAGACGGCCUCUACAGCUGGAGCAGCAGCCUGAGGAUCCCUGCAGAGCAGUGGAGGGUGGUGGGCUCAGUGAGCUGUGAGGCCUCCCAGGGCUCCCUCAGUCCGGUCACAGAGACCCUGAGACCAGACCGUUGUUUCUAGUCCUGACCCGACUCCUUGUUUCUCACUUUGCUGCUGCUCAAUUUGUUCUCUGCCUUUCUCUCUCUCUCUUUGACAUGUUUGUAUGAUUAAACUGACAUAAUAUCAUAAAACUGCAUCUUGCUUUUAGGCAAUAAAAAAAACUUAUUGAACAUGGACA
Non-coding RNA from Betta splendens (Siamese fighting fish), 607 nucleotides. The record is from the annotation of a RefSeq genome assembly. Lineage: Eukaryota; Metazoa; Chordata; Actinopteri; Anabantiformes; Osphronemidae.